RNAcentral lists this ribosomal RNA (429 nucleotides) under Actinomycetes bacterium. RNAcentral describes it as "Actinobacteria bacterium partial 16S ribosomal RNA". It matches the Rfam family "Bacterial small subunit ribosomal RNA", at positions 355 to 776 of the family's 1533-position model. Lineage: Bacteria; Bacillati; Actinomycetota; Actinomycetes. The record is from RNAcentral.
UAGGGAAUCUUCCGCAAUGGGCGAAAGCCUGACGGAGCAACGCCGCGUGAGUGAUGAAGGUCUUCGGAUCGUAAAACUCUGUUAUUAGGGAAGAACAAAUGUGUAAGUAACUAUGCACGUCUUGACGGUACCUAAUCAGAAAGCCACGGCUAACUACGUGCCAGCAGCCGCGGUAAUACGUAGGUGGCAAGCGUUAUCCGGAAUUAUUGGGCGUAAAGCGCGCGUAGGCGGUUUUUUAAGUCUGAUGUGAAAGCCCACGGCUCAACCGUGGAGGGGCAUUGGAAACUGGAAAACUGGGGUGCAGAAGAGGAAAGUGGAAUUCCAUGUGUAGCGGUGAAAGGCGCAGAGAUAUGGAGGAACACCAGUGGCGAAGGAGACUUUCUGGUCUGUAACUGACGCUGAUGUGCGAAAGCGUGGGGAUCAAACAGG